This 76-nucleotide transfer RNA is filed under the name Promethearchaeota archaeon. Its description in RNAcentral is "Candidatus Lokiarchaeota archaeon (marine sediment metagenome) tRNA-Phe". It matches the Rfam family "tRNA". From Rfam's summary of the family: Transfer RNA (tRNA) molecules are approximately 80 nucleotides in length. Their secondary structure includes four short double-helical elements and three loops (D, anti-codon, and T loops). The record is from RNAcentral. Lineage: Archaea; Promethearchaeati; Promethearchaeota. RNAcentral also lists the same sequence under 1 other name.
GGGAUGGUAGCUUAGCCAGGGAGUAGCACCCGAUUGAAGCUCGGGACAGACGCAAGUUCAAGUCUUGCCCAUCCCA